GAUGAACGCUGGCGGCGUGCCUAAUACAUGCAAGUCGAGCGAAUGGAUUAAGAGCGUGCUCUUAUGAAGUUAGCGGCGGACGGGUGAGUAACACGUGGGUAACCUGCCCAUAAGACUGGGAUAACUCCGGGAAACCGGGGCUAAUACCGGAUAACAUUUUGAACCGCAUGGUUCGAAAUUGAAAGGCGGCUUCGGCUGUCACUUAUGGAUGGACCCGCGUCGCAUUAGCUAGUUGGUGAGGUAACGGCUCACCAAAGCAACGAUGCGUAGCCGACCUGAGAGGGUGAUCGGCCACACUGGGACUGAGACACGGCCCAGACUCCGACGGGAGGCAGCAGUAGGGAAUCUUCCGCAAUGGACGAAAGUCUGACGGAGCAACGCCGCGUGAGUGAUGAAGGCUUUCGGGUCGUAAAACUCUGUUGUUAGGGAAGAGCAAGUGCUAGUUGAAUAAGCUGGCACCUUGACGGUACCUAACCAGAAAGCCACGGCUAACUACGUGCCAGCAGCCGCAGUAA
This 515-nucleotide ribosomal RNA is filed under the name uncultured bacterium. RNAcentral's name for it is "partial 16S ribosomal RNA". It matches the Rfam family "Bacterial small subunit ribosomal RNA", at positions 28 to 523 of the family's 1533-position model. The record is from RNAcentral.